GGGGAUUUAGCUCAGUGGCAUAAGCACCUGCCUUGCAAGCAGGUUGGUUGUGAGUUCGAUCCCCA
RNAcentral lists this transfer RNA (65 nucleotides) under Cavia porcellus (domestic guinea pig). It matches the Rfam family "tRNA", at positions 1 to 62 of the family's 71-position model. From Rfam's summary of the family: Transfer RNA (tRNA) molecules are approximately 80 nucleotides in length. Lineage: Eukaryota; Metazoa; Chordata; Mammalia; Rodentia; Caviidae. The record is from Rfam by way of RNAcentral.